Brassica oleracea var. oleracea is the source of this 611-nucleotide long non-coding RNA. RefSeq lists it as uncharacterized. The record is from RefSeq and is a predicted model, not a curated record. NCBI's taxonomy places the organism in Eukaryota, Viridiplantae, Streptophyta, Magnoliopsida, Brassicales, Brassicaceae. The transcript is spliced from 5 exons.
AAAUAACAAAUUAACAACACGAAGAUCCUCCUCCAAUCUUAAAAAAAAAAAAACCCUAGAGACUCUCAAUUCCCAAUUGUUCGACGAGAAUGUUGCGUUUCCUGGGAAACACCUUGGUUAAGUCUUGUGGCAAGGGGAGGCUGCAGUAUCGUGACUUUUCAUCCGUGAGUGAGAAAAAAGCUGUCUCGAAAUUUUAUGGAUACUGCUUCGGAGGGGCUUUUUUUGGUGCUGGAUUCCUGCUCGCUUGUGUGACAACAAGCCCCGUCUCAAAGGGACUUCGGAAAAUUGAACAGGUUUACAUUGACGAUUUGCCAAAUGCGGAUAAAAUAGACGCCAGGGUGGCCGAGUUGAUUACCUUGAGAGAGGAAUUAGUGAAGUGAUUGUAUUUGGUUGUGUCUGCUUGUUUCUGUUAUGUCUGCCAAUCUUCUUGGCUUUUGUCUUUAAAUCUUAAAUCUUAUUUAAAGAUCCAGACUUCUUUAACCAAUGAAGUGGUGGUAUUUGGUUGUGUCUGCUAUGUCUUUGUUUUGUAAACAUAUAUAUAUAUAUAUGUCUUUGUGUUGUGAUCUUAAUAUCACUGUAAUAACACUACUACUUCAUAGCUUGUCUUUAAA